ACCCUCUCUCUCUUCUCUCUCUCCCUCUCCCUCUCUCUCUCUCUCUCUCUUUUAAAAAAUCAGCCAUUUGGGGUUUUAAGCCAUAAACGAUUUUUCUUGUUGCAGGGGAUUGCAGUGGCAAAGCUAGGCUAGGUCUUGGAGGCUGGUGUAAGGCGAUGUGGGUGAAGGCAGGAGGCUGAUGGAAAGACUGGGGGGAAGAAAAGCCGAAAUGGAUUCACGGUGCCUUGGAUGAAGGACGAGAGGGGAACUGCAAGCUCCUUCAACUGGUUCUGUCCGGUGAGAAGUGAUCAAGCUUGGGCUGACAAGAGGCUCAGGGAGCCCUCACGUUCUUUCGCUUUUUUACCUGCCAAUCAAACUGCUACAAGACAACACCCUGAUCUGGCAUGGACAUAUCCAACUUAGAAAUAAUGUUUCAUUCAAGAUAAGGCUCGUGGCUUAGGAGAUUGUGACCUGGCUUGCAUCAUUCUAAGACUUCUAUCGUCUGUUUUCAAAACCCAAGGAGGACCUCCUUUUCUGUGUGAUAGUUCCUCAUGCUUUGCCAGCCACUGGGUCUUUAAGGAAGCUUGCCAAGAGUUCCCGGCUGGGAAGGACAGUUCGAGUUCAUCAUAGACAAUGAGCUGGCACCACAGUUUAAGUGACUCACCAACCUGGUUGCCCACUUCAAAAUGUCAAGAACCACACUAUCUAAUUGAAAGAACUGUGUUUUAGCAAAGUGUAAUUGGAUCGCCUGGCAAGAUCAUCUCAAACUAUGUCUCUGACCUUGCCUUUCAGUGGCUAUUUUGAGCACAAGAGGAGAAAGGAAAUGAUUCCUGAAUUAUAUCUUGUUUUUAAAAAUUAAGAUUAAUUAAUACUUGGUUUUAUGUUCAUUCCAUUGUAGGAACUUAGUGAUUAUUACAAAACAGUCAAAAUAGGUCAUAGCAAAAUGAACGUUUAAGAUUAGGUUAAAACAUUCCUCUGAAAUUUUAGUAUUCACUUUUGAAGUGUCAAUUACUAUAUUUCUGUAAUUUCUCAUUUUUUUCUUGGCUUAGAGUCAAGAUGAAAAAUGAUAUUUGAAUCAAAGACAUUGUUUUGUUAUAUAGCCACUCCUUUCUAAAAUGCAAAUCCACCCUCCCCUCACCAAUGCUUUAUUCUUUGUGCGCGCACACACACACACACACACACACACACACACACACACACACAGACAUACACAGAACCAGCACCCAAAUGGUAGAGGAGGUCCUUCCAAGACUUCUAGGACCUGGAUCAUGUAAGCAGUAGAUGAGAAAAUGAAGUAAGAGAUAUAGAGUAAUAACAAUAAAAGUCAAUGAUUUCAUUUUACAAAAAAGUCAUUGUGUAGUACUCAGAUAUUUUUAAGAGCAAGUAUUAUUAUGACUAAAGUAUAUUAUACUUCUAAAUUAUUAUGAUUCUCAUCUAAUUUCAAGCCACACAUAGGCGCCAUUUGAAAGCAUUUUGUGUUACAACCUAUCAACAAAAAUCAACUAAUAGUUUUAUAACGUGCAUAGGUUUACCCCAUGGGGAAUUAAAAUUUUUAUCUGCAAGUAUUUCUGUUGUUGUGAGACUUUAGGACAAGACAACAUUUGGUGUUAACAUAGAAGAAUAUUCUAUGGCUUUUUUAGCUUUAAAGUUCAUUACUCUAAAAUAAAGUACACGUGGUAUUUUUUUCUUCCUAGUGUUCUCUUAUUAUAUGUAGAGUAUUUUCGGUUGUUGUUUUUAACGUAUACAUUAUUUUUAUUAAGUCAUUUCAUAAAAGAUAAGAUAUAUACUAA
Molecule: long non-coding RNA, 1769 nt
Filed under: Homo sapiens (human)
Lineage: Eukaryota; Metazoa; Chordata; Mammalia; Primates; Hominidae
Description: HSALNT0316581
Rfam family: SOX2 overlapping transcript exon 3 (bases 116-391)
Source: RNAcentral